Dioscorea cayenensis subsp. rotundata (Guinea yam) is the source of this 675-nucleotide long non-coding RNA. RefSeq lists it as uncharacterized. The record is from RefSeq and is a predicted model, not a curated record. Lineage: Eukaryota; Viridiplantae; Streptophyta; Magnoliopsida; Dioscoreales; Dioscoreaceae. The transcript has 3 exons.
AAAGCAUCCCAUGCCAACACUCAAUCAUUAUACAAGCCUUGAAGUCCCCGCCAUUCUUCACAUCCGGCUCUUUCUCCUCCUUUGCCUUCAGUUUUACUUCAUCUUUCAUAUUAACCACAAAGAUCACAAGCCAAGAUCAAGAUCACGGAGAUUAUUAGGGCUAAGACAGAGGAGAGGAGGCAGGAGGUGAGACAAGGGCGGCAAAGGCAGUGGCCGGAAGGUGAUGGGAAGAACGACGGUGGAUCCAACUGGGCUUGUGGGAGAUCUGGAAAGGUUUUUUCAAUAUUGUGAAAAGGUUCUUGAAUCAUUCACAUGUUAAACUACUGCUUGGAUCUCACUUUGACUUGACCAGCAGAUAAUGAAGAUGGAGCAAAUAUUAAAACAAUUAUAUCCAUUGAGGGAUCAAACAUUCUUGAGAUUAAUUAUUGAUGAAGAUAAAAGGGAAGGAGGAGAUGGAGAUGAAGAUUUUAAUGAUGUGAUGGUUGAUGAAUUUUAAUGAAGACCAUUUUUGUAUGUCGUAAAAGAGAGAGGGAGAUGAAGAUCAUUUUAAUGGAUUAAUGAUUUUAGCAAACAUUGUAAUAGUAAUGGAUGUUUUUAUCUUAUGUCCAGUUUUUUCCAAUUUUGUUAAUCUUUUGAACAUUAUAGGUUAAGUUAAAUAUAUUAAUAUGUUAUGUA